This 226-nucleotide ribosomal RNA is filed under the name uncultured bacterium. RNAcentral's name for it is "partial 16S ribosomal RNA". It matches the Rfam family "Bacterial small subunit ribosomal RNA", at positions 538 to 763 of the family's 1533-position model. The record is from RNAcentral.
GCGUUAAUCGGAUUUACUGGGCGUAAAGCGUGCGUAGGUGGCCAAUUAAGUCAAAUGUGAAAUCCCCGAGCUUAACUUGGGAAUUGCAUUCGAUACUGGUUGGCUAGAGUAUGGGAGAGGAUGGUAGAAUUCCAGGUGUAGCGGUGAAAUGCGUAGAGAUCUGGAGGAAUACCGAUGGCGAAGGCAGCCAUCUGGCCUAAUACUGACACUGAGGUACGAAAGCAUG